RNAcentral lists this long non-coding RNA (1648 nucleotides) under Homo sapiens (human). RNAcentral's name for it is "HSALNT0017294". The record is from RNAcentral. Lineage: Eukaryota; Metazoa; Chordata; Mammalia; Primates; Hominidae.
UGAACCUUCAGUUUUCAAAGGAUUCUCACAAAUUAAGAUCAACUGGACAUGAGCUUACAGGAAAAAAAAUUACAAAACCCACGAGGAAACAAGCCCCAGUGAGAGCAGAAACAACACAGCAAAAUGAGGCACGCUCCUUCAUCAGACACUGGAAUUUUCAUGUAGAGAAUAUAAAACAAAUAUGUUUAAAAUAUUUAAAGAAAUAAAGAGGGUAUAAAAACAUAAGAAGUAAAGGACAAAUGGGUAAGGUCAGAGAUAAAAUUAAAAAUUCUAGAUAUAAAAUAGAUAAAUAAUUUCAAUGGAAGAGUUAAACAGAUGGGAUACAGAUGAAGAGGAGAUAAAGCUAGAUUUUAAAAAGUUAGCCAGAAUGCAGCACAGACAUAAUUAGAAAUGUAAGGAAUUAAAAGACAUGGAGAGCCGGGGGGGUGAGGUCGCUGGCGCUGGGCUCCGUCCCCUGCACAUCCGGGCCUCACAGGCACCGGGCGAGAAGCAUGGGAGCCGCGGGGGUCCCGGACCAGCACGGAGGAGAAAGCUGAAGGAACAGACCUGCGGGCAUGGCCCCUGGGGGAUGCGGGGACUCGGCCUCCUUCUGCAUCUUAGGAUUGGAAACCACACUCACCCGUUCAGCUGAGAAAAAGUUUACUUUGCCAGAGAACAGAAGUCGGAGAAGAGCAAUCAGGAGAAUACAACUAUUGCAAGCAAAAGAGACUUUACUGAAGACAACUUGAAAUGCAAGCUAAGUGUGCUUUUCUGUGGUAAUUAUUGAUAAGGAAAUGCAUUUUACUUCCUCAGCUAAGUCCAGGAAUGGUUAGUCACUUCGGUUUUUCAGAAGUUAAAGGGGUAAAAAGUCUGAGUAAUUCCUACACAGCGUGUUGGAAUUGGUAGUACUUUAAAAAUGAUUAUAAUCAUAAUUCUGAGUCAUCAUUAAACCUUGCUCUCAGAAGACAAAAAGCGGGUGGGGGAGAGAGAAAUCAAAUAUAGAGUUCUGGAAGAAGAAAAUAGAAAGGGUGAGGCAAUACUUAAAGAGAAAAUAGAGAAUUUCCUGACUUAACAAAAGACACACAUAUCUUCAGAAUGAGGAAGGAAACAUUUCCAAGACAGGACACACACAUCCCCUGGAUGCAUCAGUGUGAAACUGUAGUGUAUCAAUGAGAAAUAAAUAUUCACAGAGAAAGAAUACUUACAAAGAUACUGUAAUUAGUCCGACAUCAGAUCUCAGCAACCGUGUUAGCACAUAGUAGAAAACUGUCUUCAGUGAACUGAUAGAAAAUAACUGCCAACUUACAAUUGUAUAUUCAGCCAAACUCAUUCAAGUACAAAAAGAGAGAAAGUAAAUGCAUUCAUAUGAGAAAUAUACAAAUAUUAAAGCAAGCAUUAUUAGAGGGCUUUAUUAUCUUUUGCUAUGUAAUAAGCCAUUCCAAAACACAGUGACUUAAAAUAACAAUCAUUUAUUUAGUUCACAACUGGGAAGUUUGGCAAUUUGGCCUGGACUGAACAUGGUGGUUCCCUGGUUCCAGAGACCAGUUGUCCCUUUGAAUUAAAAGCUCACUGAGGCAGCAGCCACCAUCUUCCAGUGGUCAGUCUAGCAAACCUUGCAAUUUGCUCAAAAAACAGGGCACUUGAUGAAGUGGAAUAAUGGAGAGCCAAC